GCCAGGCAUGGUGGGGCAUGCCUGUAAUUCCAGCAACUUGGAGGCUGAGGCAGGAGGAUCAAAAGUUCAGGGACAGACUCCAGUCUCAA
This 89-nucleotide small RNA is filed under the name Marmota monax (woodchuck). Lineage: Eukaryota; Metazoa; Chordata; Mammalia; Rodentia; Sciuridae. The record is from RNAcentral.